RNAcentral lists this transfer RNA (87 nucleotides) under Verrucomicrobiales bacterium. RNAcentral describes it as "tRNA-Leu". It matches the Rfam family "tRNA". From Rfam's summary of the family: Transfer RNA (tRNA) molecules are approximately 80 nucleotides in length. Their secondary structure includes four short double-helical elements and three loops (D, anti-codon, and T loops). Further hydrogen bonds mediate the characteristic L-shaped molecular structure. tRNAs have two regions of fundamental functional importance: the anti-codon, which is responsible for specific mRNA codon recognition, and the 3' end, to which the tRNAs corresponding amino acid is attached (by aminoacyl-tRNA synthetases). tRNAs cope with the degeneracy of the genetic code in two manners: having more than one tRNA (with a specific anti-codon) for a particular amino acid; and 'wobble' base-pairing, i.e. permitting non-standard base-pairing at the 3rd anti-codon position. The record is from RNAcentral. Lineage: Bacteria; Pseudomonadati; Verrucomicrobiota; Verrucomicrobiia; Verrucomicrobiales.
GCGCACGUGGCGGAAUUGGCAGACGCGCUAGAUUCAGGUUCUAGUCCUUUUACCGGGGUGCAGGUUCAAGUCCUGCCGUGCGCACCA